Molecule: long non-coding RNA, 6087 nt
Organism: Thamnophis elegans (Western terrestrial garter snake)
Lineage: Eukaryota; Metazoa; Chordata; Lepidosauria; Squamata; Natricidae
Exons: 2
Source: RefSeq, a predicted model, not a curated record
AUCUGGGGAGAGGUUGAAACAGGAUCCCGCGGGAAAUAACAUCCCGCCUUGGCAGGCGGAUCUGCAAUGUUUGCUAAGCCUCAGAGAGGUCUCUUCUCACGGCCCGGCAACUAGUUUUUGAUUUGUUCAGCAGCCCCGGGAGAUGCUCCCUGGGUCGACGUCCAGGCACGCGACUGACCUCAGGUUCGGGAGGAAAAAAAUCAACCAAAAGCCCUUUCCCGGAUUUCUCCUUUGGACCCCAGCCUAGGCAGGCCCCCCGAUCAGAUUUGUUGAAGCAAGGGCUGGAAAGAGCAGCUGGCGGCAGCAAUCUGAUGAAGAAACAAAGGAAUGCCCCGCCAGUUCUGGGAUCCCAGGUAAACACGCCUGCUUUAUUAUGGAGAGGAGAGGAGCAGAUGAUUUGCGGUUGGAAAACGGGGAGGGAGAGGCGGAGAGAGGGAGAAAGCGGAGCCGGGGGAAGUCGUGGGAGGGGUGGUGGUGGGAGCGGUCGCAGGGAGCUGGUGCUUAUCUGUCAUCUGGCUUCUCUGUGUGCCAGCUGAGCCACGCGCCCGCCCUUUCUUAUUCUAAUCAGCACAUGCCUUUACAACUUUCGACAAACCUGCAGAGCAGCCAAACUUAUUCACCCGGCUCUCUUAAAAUCAAUACGUGGGCUCCGACUUUUCCUACGUGGGUGCAUGGCAUGGGGAGGGGGAACCCCCUAACUCGAUGGGUGCAGGCUCACUGUGAUCCCCAUUUUUCUCUCUUCUCCAACUCUCUCACCUGCACAGUGUGGAAGUCGGAAGUCCUGAGUUGCUGGAGCACCAAAUCUGGGGAGAGGAUUCCUUUCCCACAUUCUCAGUGACCUGCACAUGUGAAGCAGGAGGAGGGGGGGGGAGGGAGGAAGAUUGGGGAUUGUUACAGGAAAGGAUAAAUAGGUUGCCUAAAACCAAGCAACCAUGUUUAAUAAUAUUGCAUCUUUAAAGCCAAAUCCUAGGCAAAUCAGGGAAGUUUAAUUGUCAUUGCAUUUAAUUUGGAUUACUCUCAAGUGAAGUGUGCUUUGAACUACACCUGUUAACUCUCCUUUCGACUGGGUCACAUGUGAAUAUGGACUGUUUCUGUUCACUGACUUUGUCUUUGCAGCCGGCUUAUCAUUGGCGCCCCACUCUAAAGGCCCUGAAACAGAUGGGCAACUGAGGCAGUGGCUUCAAGUGAGCACACUGAGGAAUAAAUUUGAUCCCUGGAGAUGAUUGAGUGUGAGAUAGUGUCAAAACAAACAUAAUCUUGGUAACAAUUUUAUUUUUUAUGAUUGAACAGCUAAGAAGACACCAAACUGGCUAUGUGUGGCUGCUUAGAAUCCAUUUUUUUGUGGUGAAACUCAGAUCUUUAUAAAAAAAAUAGUCCCCCGUUUCUUGUAAAUCUUGUCUGUCACUGCGAUUGUAAGAAUUGGCACAAGACCUGCUGAUGCAGGAAGAUAAACAUGCAGGAGCCUUUUCUUCCAGUUAAGUAAUGUCAGUAUCUAAAGUAGAAAAAAAAAUCAUACAAAUGUAAUUCCUUGGUAUCUAUUACUAAAAACAACUGUGGAACAACCAAAAACUCUUUUCAAAGAAAUGCCCAAGCUCAUUCAAAGUUUUCUGCACAUAUUGAUUGAUGUCCAUUUUCCAAUGAUUUGAAUUAUGAUUUAUUUAUCCUUUUGACUUUAGCAGAAUUGAACGCCAAGGGAGCAAAAAAGUAACCCUAAUCUCCAAGUCUUCACGAUCCAUUCAAACUCAUGCAAAUGCAUUGAGAUUACUUGAAAGUACCGUAAAUACAGUUGAAAAAAUGAAUGAGACACAUGACCUCUGGGAAAAGAACUAAAGUCACAUCUAUUCAGCCAAGGUGGUUUUUGCCAAUAUUUGAUCUUGGGUGUGGAUUGAUCCCUAAAUCCAUUUAGGAUAAGCAAAUUGGAACUCUCCAGAUAUUUUGGACUAUGACCCUCAUCAUUCCUUGCUAUUUUACUAGGGAAUUCCAAAAAAGCUGCAGUUACCAUGUUUCUUAUCUUGAACUGAAUCAGAGUUCACCCAGCCAAUGUACAUGAAACUAUCUAGCUUGUUAUAUCAAUCAAUAGCUUGGACCUCAAAGCAAUUUCCUCCAUGUGAACGCCUCAUGUCUUGGAGUUAUCUUUUGUGUGUGGGAAGCUUUCAGAUUAAAUUAAUGGCAAGCUAUGACUAAUUAAUAACAAUCCUUUGGGUGAAUUUCCCCUCCCUCCCAAAAAACCCACCUAAUCCUAUUUUAGUUCACUGCCUAUAUUGCUGGGGAUGAUGAUGGAAGUUGCUGACUGUUUCUUCUGGAAGACACGGGAAUUGGGAAGGAUGAUUGUUUUAGUCCAAUAUCAAGGAAAGGUUUCCCAUCACUGACUGAGCCAUUAUAGAAUCAGUACCUCAAGUAAGUAAUGUUAAUCAUCAUCCUUCUUAAAAGUGUCAUUUUGCUUACUCAGUGGAUACAUAUAGAGUGGGGGGAUGAGAUUGAUUAAAUCCUAGAACUUCCAAAUGGAAUUACUGAAUCGUUCUGACUUGGAUUCUGUGGAUAUAGUGGGGUUAAUGGAAUUUGUUGCAGUAAGACCUCUCCUCCAAAUGGCUUAAUCUUCAACUAGCCCACACUGUAUUUGGAAAUAGAAGCAAUACUAUAACUGGGUUACCCAGAUAGAAGCUCAUCUUGCAUUCAUAUCACCAUGCCAGGCAUGUUAUGAUGUAGAUUCCAAUAUUCUCAGAUCAGUGAUUGUUCAAUGUCCAGUUAGAGGCAUGACUUUUAUAUAGACUGUUGGCCAUUAACCUAUUGGUUGAGGCCGACACGUCACAUCACACUUCUUUCCUGCAAAAGAUUACUUGGUUUUACUUCUCCCAAACUGGCAGGAAAGUUUGCAGUUCUUGAAGUUAGGGGCUUCAGUUUUCCACUAGCCAUGAGAAAUAGGACCUUUUACAAUGUGAUGUAAACUUGCUUGAAGUUAUCUUACCCAGGGUGCCUGCUGGCCACCUAUACCCAUCUCUAGAAAGCUCCAUUCCAUCCUCUUUUCCAUUUCCCUUCAACAGCCUGCAUCCUGUGCCCUUUAACUCAAUUUUUAAUAGUUUUUUUAAGCCUGCACAUUUUGCUAUUUCCUUUUUUAAACGGAUGCUUCCUUUUUGUAUUACAUCCAUAACUACCUUAAUUCUGGCUAUGUACAUACCUACAAAUUCAAUAUGAAUGACAGUUAAAUUGAACCAUCUGUGUUCAAGGAACUAAAUGGGAAAAGAAAUGUGUGUUGCCUUGAUGCUUAUAAACAUAGGUUUUGGUUUGCAUAUUGUGUGGAAUUGUUUUUGCUUAACUCUAGUUUCUUGAGUAUGCUUCAGUUGAUUGGGUUCACACCACAGAAAUUUAUAUAUUAUAUUAAUGAUUAACAAUCCAGGUAGCCACCUUAUCAUUUAUAUCCAGAUAACAGAUAACAUUUGACCAAGGACUCCCUAAAACUUCUUACUUGAAUGUAUCUCGAGCUGAACUUUCUCCAGACCAAACAAGUUCUCUGCCCCUUAGUUAUGACUGCUGCGUGGCAGAGGAAAUGGUCGAGCAAGAUACAUUCUUGAUCUACCCUUUAUCAUUUUGUCUUGGCUAUUUCCGGCCUCAGAAAAGGCUGCUCAGUCUUGCUGGAAAAGGGUAACUACAAAGGUUUUUGCAUCCUCCCCAGAAGGAAGUUGCAAAUCUUCCACUUCUCAGAUCACCCAAAUCUUCAAUCUGACAUUUUUUCAGAGCCUUUGGGAGCCAACUGGGCUCAGGCUGCUCAAAGGACAUGGUUUCUUUUUUCUCUGUUCUCUACAGAAAGAGCUUCAGGUCCCCACCCUCUCAGAUCUUGCUUCCUCCCCCCCUUUCCCUCCCCUCCUCUAAACAGGAUCAAAUUCACCUUGUCUUUUGCUUCUAACAUUUUGUCUGUGCUGGUUAAUGAGUUCAACAUAGUACAGUAAAUUUGCUGAGGAAUCAAAAAGUAUUUAAAAGGGGCUUGUGGUGCUGCCUUAAUGAAAAAGGUAAGGAUUUAUCACUUUUUUUCUGGCUGUUUUUUUUCCAAUCACCCUCUUUUCUCUCUCAACCUCCCCCCCCCCAGUCUAUUCAACAUACUUUAACUUAAGCUGCCUUUGCAUUGAGUUGGGGGGGGGGCAGGGAACAGCCAGCUAGAGGGACUGAAGCUGAAAGUGUGAGAGCGGAAUCUAGAGACAUGCAGGAGCUAGGAUGAAAAAACGCCAUUUGGUUAGGAGCAGAUGGCUGGCCAGGGGGGUGGAUUGCAUCUAAAGGCGUGUCAUCCCCCUUCAGCUUGAAUCCCUGAGGGCUCCCCUUGUCUUCAAAAUCAAUGAAAAUUAAAGUGCAGAGAAAGGAUGAAUGGAGGGACCCCGAGUCUCUUCUUUGUUCAGCCCAGCUACUGGUGGGCAGGAGUUAAACUACAACAGCCUCCUAUAGAAACACUUAAGUUAAACAGUCUCCCCGUUAGCCCAGAAGCAUCUGAGAAGAAGGGGCGGGGGAGCAAAGCAAAGAGGAAGGGGAGAGCAAGGGGGGGAAAAGGGGCUUUCUGCUUGAUUUCCCCAAUACAGAAUCGCGUGGCAUAAAUUAAGUUGGAAGAGAAUAAGCGCUUUGGGUAGGAUUCUGAUGGAUUUUAUGACGCCUUUCAGUUCCGCUUUGCAGACCUAAUCGAGAAAUCUGUGCUGCGUCAAUUUAACAAAUCCUUGAGAGCGAAGGCAGGUUAGUCAAAAAGAUUUGGAAAGACUUUUUUUUUAAUGGGGAGGCAGGGGUGAUCCAGGGGAAGCAGGCUUUUAAGCCCUUGCACGCGUUUAAGUUUGAUUCACACUCCUUCCCAUAACAGGAAUGUCAAAUGAAUAUCUAGAAAGUCUGGCUUCGAAGAUCAAAUCACCAUGGAUCCUAAAUCUGCUACGCCUUUAUUCUACGACACCCCUGACUUAACUGACCUAGGAAAAGAUGCCACCACAGCAAAUUUCUCUUUGCAUCUCUUCAUCCUUCAGCCUGGCAAAUGUCUAAGAACAACAGAUAAAGAGUAUUUCUCUUGCACAAGAGGGCAUGUUUUGCACAAGGAUUUUUAGUAUUAAUGAGAUCCAGAAGGGUGAUUUUUGAUAUUGGAGGAAUUUCCAAUAUAUUUCUUAGCUGUUGUAGAUUGUAUACUAAUUGUAUGAUAGUUUCUCUGAAAAUUGCCUCAAAGGCGAACAGGGGACCUAAAGUGAGUCUACUCACUCUGUUUACAAUCCCUGAAAACAACUGCUACAAUGAAAUCUCUCGAGCUUUUACAAAAACUCUGAAUAAUUGAGAGUAACAGAAUGUUACUUCAAUGUAUAGAACUAAUUACAGAUGAAUAGAUGAUACUCCUUGUUUAAAUAAAUCUUUACAUGAAUCAGUAGUAUAAAAUUAAAAUAUGUGUCCAAACUCGAAAAACUUGCCAACACUGCAGCUCUAAAUGAGACACUACAGGAUUUCUCCCAAUGGGUUCAAGAGAAAGUGUUUCCUAGGGCCUAUUUUAACUUACUUAAGGUAGUUAAAAUUAUUCUUUUUCUUUCUAAACAAGUUGCAUCAGACCAAGAAUAUAAUGCAACCACAAUUAUUUUCUUCAGAAAACAUUUACAAAUGCAAUAUACAACUACAAACAUAUCUGCUGUUUUGCUAUCCUGAGCAGCAAAGGAUCAUUUAUGUUUCUGUAGAAAUGCACUUACCCAGACAUAUACUUUAUUACACACUCAGAUUUCUUUGUUUUUUUCACAGGCAUUCCCCCUCUCAUUUUAAAUCAGUCUGUCUGCAUAUAUACCUUGUCCAUCAGUAUUCCUCAUCCAGAUGCUCUUGUUGUUUAAUGGAACUACAAUCCCCUUCAACUUGUAGGCCAAUAUACAUGAAAAGCACUGAAUGCAGAAAGCUUACAAUAAGGUAUAGGUUAGCAAGAGUAAGCAGAUGAACUUUCAAAAGAUACCCAGUUGAUUAUUCUCUGACUAAUUUAUUUAUCAGUGUUAUUGGGAAGUUUUUAAAGAAAUGAAUCACUGCCUGGAAAAAAGAUAAAUACUAAGUAUACUCCAUGCAUUUGACAUGCAAACUUAAAUAAACAGCAACAUUUCUUCACUG